RNAcentral lists this long non-coding RNA (428 nucleotides) under Setaria viridis. RNAcentral's name for it is "long non-coding RNA (SVIR_LNC008388)". Lineage: Eukaryota; Viridiplantae; Streptophyta; Magnoliopsida; Poales; Poaceae. The record is from RNAcentral.
CUGGAACAUCUCGGCAAGUGGCACGAACGCAUCAACCACCUGUGAUCAAUAGCAUUGUAAGGUAAAUGUUUCUGGCCACACUUCAAUUAGCAGACUCUGAUAAACUAGGCUAUGAAGGUGGAGGAUGCACUAUUUCAUACCUUGAGUCCACCAGGCUUAUCCCCGAAGCUGUUAACUUGACCUCUUCUAGAGUUCAAAUCACCAAUAACAUCGCCCAGAUGGUCUUCAGGAGUUACCACUUCAACUCUCAUUAUAGGCUCCAGAAGUCUUGGACCAGCUUUCCUCAUUCCUUCACGGAAAGCGCCUCUGGCUGCAAUUUGGAAUGCUAAGACACUUGAAUCAACAUCAUGGUACGAGCCAUCAACCAGCACUGCUCGGAAGUCCACAACUGGGUAACCGGCAAGGACACCGUUGGGUAAGCUUUCUUC